UGUACGGUACCAGCUUCCAGCCACACUAUCUUCCAUUCAAAACUCUCCUCCAGAUCUCCUUCAUUUAAAUUUUCCUCAAAAAUGUUUUCUAUCCAAUUCUGCUGUGUAUCAUGAAGCUUCAAAUCUCCCAAACUAGUCUCCUCCUCUCUGCCACCCCUCCUCUCCUCCUAUCUCGUGAAGCUUCAGAAACACGGACACUGCGGACGUGGAUGUCGGGAGGCAGCCAGUGGACCUUCACACGCCGACAGGUGGGGGCGUGAGGAGCUGUUGGUGCUGUAGCCCGGGUUGCCACACAUUGGUGACAUGAAGACAGAAACAUCAGUACAUUUAGGAGGAAGAAUGAACACCAACAGAUUAACAGGAAGAGGAAGAAUGAAGGAAAACACUCGUAUUCACAGAAGAGAGAGAAUGAACACAGAGAUACACAGGAUAGGGAAUGAAAGAAGCCUCACAGAUUUACCACAGGAGGAAAUAAGACCAGCAGAUUAACAGCAAAACAGCAAGAGGAGGAAUGAAGGAUAACUCUUGCAUUCAUAGGAGGAGGAGGAAGAAGAAUGAAGACCAAGAGAUUCACCGUCACAGGAGGAAAGAAAAUCCUUAUAUUCACAGCAAUAGUAAUAACAAAGACCCACAAAUAUUCACAGCAAAACCUCCAAGAUUAACUUCAACACAGCAUGGCAAGAUACAAGACUACACCAGCUGGCCAGACACUCACAAAAGCAACAGGACUUCAAACUUCCCUCACAGAUGCUGACAUCAACAUGAGUAAGGCAUGUCAUCAACAGCUGAGUGGGUAAAUGAUACAAGAUGAUUGAGACUUGGUGCAGUAUUGAGUGAUUGUGUAGUGUGAAAAGAGAAUGAGAGAAGGAAGAGUGUAGAGAGAUUAAAAUGAAGGUGGAGAUGAUUUUGUGGACUUAUGAAUGAUUGUUGUCUAAAUAGGAGAGAAUGAAAGAUGGAGAAGGAAGAUGACAAGGAGGAGGAAUGAUUGUUGUCCAAAUACAGGGGAUGAGAGAUUGAGAAGGAAGAGGAGAUCAUAAACAUAGAUAGUUUCAGGUCGGAAUGAUAGGAACUUAGUUGAUUUAGUGAAGCAUUGACUGAGAGAGAGAGAGAGAGAGAGAGAGAGAGAGAGAGAGAGAGA
Molecule: long non-coding RNA, 1138 nt
Organism: Portunus trituberculatus (swimming crab)
Lineage: Eukaryota; Metazoa; Arthropoda; Malacostraca; Decapoda; Portunidae
Exons: 2
Source: RefSeq, a predicted model, not a curated record